AAAUUAUUUUAUAAUUUAAAUAACAAUAAUAUCUUUAUUAUCAAUAUUAUAUAACAUUAGAACACUACAAAACAUAAAAUAUAUUGAUUGCUUAUUGGUAAUGCUGUGACUAUACCCUAUUGCAUUGGUUUCCCCGAAAAUGUUAUCUGGGUCCAUCGAACAUGCAUUUUGAAACAUGAACAUUGUGAACGCUUCUAAGGUGCAUGCCGCCAACUUGUUUGAAACAAUUGUAUGCCUCUUUUCUUGUGUUAUUUCUCACCCCAAGUACGCACUUUAUUCAAUGUUAAUGUCUGUUGGUAGAUAACCAGUAAUAGUAGGUCAUCUACAACAACGACAAUCAGAACAAAACAAACAGAGGCCAGCCUAUAUAGCUUCUUUAAAUUAGCAUCAAGCAUCGAUUAUGCCUCGAAUACAAACACAAGUAGUUUAUAAGCAGCAAAUGCACCAACUUCCAUUGUUAGUUAUUCGAAAAUUUCAAUCACAGCAAAAUCAGCUAAUUCAACAGCAAGCAAUAAAAACUUUUAGAACAUAUUCAACAUACACCGUCUGUUACCUAUCUCUUACAACACUAUCUAAUGAUGUUAUUCCACAUGCAGGCAUUUAUAGCUGCAUUCAGUUAUUCAAUAUAUUCAAAUAUAGCGAACCUAUCAUAUAUUAUGCAAUCCAAGAAUUCAAUAUGGGCGAAAUGGCAGUCCAACUCUGGGUUGAUCCGUACAACAUUUUUGGUAACCAAAUGGCACAAUAUCAGCUACCAUCUAGCCAAUCCGGUCAAGUCACGAUUGUUCAGUACCAACCACAACCACUGGGGGCCGAAAUUCUACAGCCUGUCUUGCAGACUAUUAAAUUACAACAAACACAGUCUGUCUGGUCAAUGUUGAUCCCAGUAAACGAACGCCAGAAAAACCUGCUCCGAUAAGAAUGAUGAUGCCUCAACUAAAUCAGUUCCAGAAUCUUCAACCGUCAAUCAUACCCACCAGGCCAUUUACAGUCACAGUUUUGUUAGAAUGAUAAAAAUGAGCCCAUGCAUGCAGCUUUGCUGUUAUUAACAGAAGUGUUUGAAGUAGACGAACAACUUCAAUUCCUUCGGCAACAAAGGUCAUGUCAUGUUACAACAACAUAUUAUUAGAGAUUUAUUUAGUCAUGUAGUUAACGGUAGUUUCAAAAAGUAUGUGACUACUGUUGGAAUUAGUUUCCUUAUUAACUUACAAUGAUUAUUAUUAUAUUCGUAUACACUUAAAUAAUAUACUAUGUAUAUACAAUUAACUUACAUCAACUAGACAAAAAUAAGCUAAUGUACAAUGAAAUCUUUAAAUGGAAUUAAGUGUAUAAAAAUAUAUACAGUUUCGCGGGAUGGUUGUGAUCGAUAUAUUAUUUUUAGUCAACUUCAGUCAUAACAACUUUGUGAUGGGGAAAAAAAUGUGUUGUUGAUAAUUUUUUGCAUAAUAUAAUUCAAAUGUAUAUUGUAUAUAGUA
Molecule: unclassified non-coding RNA, 1472 nt
Filed under: Acyrthosiphon pisum (pea aphid)
Lineage: Eukaryota; Metazoa; Arthropoda; Insecta; Hemiptera; Aphididae
Description: uncharacterized LOC100575979, transcript variant X5
Source: RNAcentral